GACGAACGCUGGCGGCGUGCUUAACACAUGCAAGUCGAACGGAAAGGCCUCUUUCGGGGGGUACUCGAGUGGCGAACGGGUGAGUAACACGUGAGUAACCUGCCCUUGACUUUGGGAUAACUUCAGGAAACUGGGGCUAAUACCGGAUAGGAGCUCCUGCUGCAUGGUGGGGGUUGGAAAGUUUCGGCGGUUGGGGAUGGACUCGCGGCUUAUCAGCUUGUUGGUGGGGUAGUGGCUUACCAAGGCUUUGACGGGUAGCCGGCCUGAGAGGGUGACCGGCCACAUUGGGACUGAGAUACGGCACAGACUCCUACGGGAGGCAGCAGGGGGGAAGAUUGAACAAGGGGUGGAAGCCUGAUGCAGCAACGCCGGGUGCGGGAUGACGGCCUUCGGGUUGUAAACCGCUUUCGCUCAUGACGAAGCUUUGUGUGACGGUAGUGGGUAAAGAAGCACCGGCUAACUACGUG
Molecule: ribosomal RNA, 467 nt
Filed under: uncultured bacterium
Lineage: Bacteria
Description: partial 16S ribosomal RNA
Rfam family: Bacterial small subunit ribosomal RNA
Source: RNAcentral